AGAGUUUGAUCAUGGCUCAGGAUGAACGCUGGCGGUCUGCUUAACACAUGCAAGUCGAACGCAACCUUUCGGGGUUGAGUGGCGGACGGGUGAGUAACGCGUGAGAAUCUGCCUUUAGGUCCGGGACAACCACUGGAAACGGUGGCUAAUACCGGAUGUGCCGCAACGUGAAAGGGGAAACCCGCCUGAAGAUGAGCUCGCGUCUGAUUAGCUAGUUGGUGAGGUAAAGGCUCACCAAGGCGACGAUCAGUAGCUGGUCUGAGAGGAUGACCAGCCACACUGGGACUGAGACACGGCCCAGACUCCUACGGGAGGCAGCAGUGGGGAAUUUUCCGCAAUGGGCGAAAGCCUGACGGAGCAAUACCGCGUGAGGGAGGAAGGCUCUUGGGUUGUAAACCUCUUUUCUCAGGGAAGAACGCAAUGACGGUACCUGAGGAAUCAGCAUCGGCUAACUCCGUGCCAGCAGCCGCGGUAAUACGGAGGAUGCAAGCGUUAUCCGGAAUGAUUGGGCGUAAAGGGUUCGCAGGUGGUAGUGAAAGUUUGCUGUUAAAAGUCGGGGCUCAACCCCGAACCGGCGGUGAAAACUACACAACUAGAGUGCGGUAGGGGCAGAGGGAAUUCCUGGUGUAGCGGUGAAAUGCGUAGAGCUCAGGAAGAACACCGGUGGCGAAAGCGCUCUGCUAGACCUGCACUGACACUGAGGGACGAAAGCUAGGGGAGCGAAUGGGAUUAGAUACCCCCGUAGUCC
RNAcentral lists this ribosomal RNA (748 nucleotides) under uncultured cyanobacterium. RNAcentral's name for it is "bacterial SSU rRNA". It matches the Rfam family "Bacterial small subunit ribosomal RNA", at positions 8 to 796 of the family's 1533-position model. The record is from RNAcentral. Lineage: Bacteria; Bacillati; Cyanobacteriota.